This 253-nucleotide ribosomal RNA is filed under the name uncultured bacterium. RNAcentral describes it as "partial 16S ribosomal RNA". It matches the Rfam family "Bacterial small subunit ribosomal RNA", at positions 524 to 776 of the family's 1533-position model. The record is from RNAcentral.
UACGUGGGGGGCAAGCGUUGUUCGGAAUUACUGGGCGUAAAGGGCUCGUAGGCGGCCAACUAAGUCCGACGUGAAAUCCCAAGGCUUAACCUUGGAACUGCGUCGGAUACUGGAUGGCUUGAAUUCGGGAGAGGGAUGCAGAAUUCCAGGUGUAGCGGUGAAAUGCGUAGAUAUCUGGAGGAAUACCGGUGGCGAAGGCGGCAUCCUGGACCGACAUUGACGCUGAGGAGCGAAAGCUAGGGGAGCAAACGGG